Molecule: transfer RNA, 107 nt
Filed under: Puccinia triticina 1-1 BBBD Race 1
Lineage: Eukaryota; Fungi; Basidiomycota; Pucciniomycetes; Pucciniales; Pucciniaceae
Description: Puccinia triticina tRNA PTTG_20059
Rfam family: tRNA
About the family: Transfer RNA (tRNA) molecules are approximately 80 nucleotides in length.
Source: Rfam by way of RNAcentral
GCCCGGCUAGCUCAGUUGGUAGAGCAUUCGACUCUUACGGAGUUCGUAACAACCCCUUUGGGGCGGAUGGCAUCGAAUUGUCGUGGGUUCGAGCCCCACGUUGGGCG